This 602-nucleotide ribosomal RNA is filed under the name Coprinellus sp. KM2-2. RNAcentral describes it as "eukaryotic LSU rRNA". It matches the Rfam family "Eukaryotic large subunit ribosomal RNA", at positions 62 to 648 of the family's 3401-position model. The record is from RNAcentral. Lineage: Eukaryota; Fungi; Basidiomycota; Agaricomycetes; Agaricales; Psathyrellaceae.
AAACUAACAAGGAUUCCCCUAGUAACUGCGAGUGAAGCGGGAAAAGCUCAAAUUUAAAAUCUGGUGGUCUUUGGCCAUCCGAGUUGUAAUCUAGAGAAGUGUUACCCGCGUCGGACCGUGUACAAGUCUCCUGGAAUGGAGCGUCGUAGAGGGUGAGAAUCCCGUCUUUGGCACGGACCCCCGAGGCUUUGUGGUGCGCUCUCAAAGAGUCGAGUUGUUUGGGAAUGCAGCUCAAAAUGGGUGGUAAAUUCCAUCUAAAGCUAAAUAUUGGCGAGAGACCGAUAGCGAACAAGUACCGUGAGGGAAAGAUGAAAAGAACUUUGGAAAGAGAGUUAAACAGUACGUGAAAUUGCUGAAAGGGAAACGCUUGAAGUCAGUCGCGUUGGCCGGAAAUCAGCCUUCCUUUUGGUUGGUGUACUUUCUGGUUGACGGGCCAGCAUCAGUUUUGACCGGUGGAUAAAGUUGUGAGGAAUGUGGCAUCUUCGGGUGUGUUAUAGCCUCGCUUCGUAUACAUCGAUUGGGACUGAGGAACUCAGCACGCCGAAAGGCCGGGGUUCGCCCACGUUCGUGCUUAGGAUGCUGGCAUAAUGGCUUUAAUCGAC